This 587-nucleotide ribosomal RNA is filed under the name uncultured Alphaproteobacteria bacterium. RNAcentral's name for it is "bacterial SSU rRNA". It matches the Rfam family "Bacterial small subunit ribosomal RNA", at positions 35 to 671 of the family's 1533-position model. The record is from RNAcentral. Lineage: Bacteria; Pseudomonadati; Pseudomonadota; Alphaproteobacteria.
GCUGGCGGCAGGCCUAACACAUGCAAGUCGAGCGCACCUUCGGGUGAGCGGCGGACGGGUUAGUAACGCGUGGGAAUAUACCUAGUUCUAAGGAAUAGCCUCUGGAAACGGAGAGUAAUACCUUAUACGCCCUUCGGGGAAAGAUUUAUCGGAAUUGGAUUAGCCCGCGUUAGAUUAGAUAGUUGGCGGGGUAACGGCCUACCAAGUCGACGAUCUAUAGCUGGUUUGAGAGGAUGAUCAGCAACACUGGGACUGAGGCACGGCCCAGACUCCUACGGGAGGCAGCAGUGGGGAAUCUUGGACAAUGGGCGCAAGCCUGAUCCAGCCAUGCCGCGUGAGUGAUGAAGGCCCUAGGGUCGUAAAGCUCUUUCGCCAGAGAUGAUAAUGACAGUAUCUGGUAAAGAAACCCCGGCUAACUCCGUGCCAGCAGCCGCGGUAAUACGGAGGGGGUUAGCGUUGUUCGGAAUUACUGGGCGUAAAGCGUACGUAGGCGGACUGAUCAGUUAGAGGUGAAAUCCCAGGGCUCAACCCUGGAACUGCCUUUGAUACUGUCAGUCUUGAGUUCGAGAGAGGGGAGUGGAAUUCCA